AGUACAUUUUUAAAUUUAAAAUUGGAUUUUAUGAGUUUUUAUUGUGAUUUGCUAGAUUUUGGUAGUUUUUAUGUAUCUUUAUGCUAACCUUCGGGGACAUCGCCAUCGCCAUCUGCCCCGAUUGUGACUCCCCUUCCCUCAUCUCUUUCACCGAGUCUCCUUUUUUCAGGUGAGGCUGGGAAUUGUUCUUUUACGUUUGUGUUUGAACCAAGAUUCAUCUUCGAAAUAAUCUUUGCUGCACUAUCUUCUUCACCUGCGGCCUCCGCCAAGCGGUUUUCUGCAAUAAGUAGUCUUGGAGUAUUUAUAUUAACCCUUCAUUACCAUUUAUUUUUUUUAUUUGAAUUCAAGAAUUGAUUUCCCUUUUCUUGGGGUGCACGAAGAAGGACGACUCAUUUGGACAGGUUGCAGGAAUCAGAUUUUUUAUUGUACUUCCGAUGAAGCAAGGUGUGAUUACGGAAAUACUAUUGGUGGAUUUAUAUUGAUUGGAAUGAGACGUAGCAUCAGAGAGGAAAACGCCCACAUUGUGGUUAAGCAAAAAGAAUUUAAUUUCACACAUUUUCGAAGGUGAUAAUUUUUUUUAUUGAGUUGGAUUAUUUUUCACUGUCUAAACAAGAAUCAAUGUGUUUUGAUAUGAAUAGAUUGUGACCAACUAUUGGUUUUGCAGAUAGUCAAUUCAAACCCCUAAUACCAAUUGUGUUUUAUAUUGCUUUAGUUCCCUUUUCUGAAAUCAGUGACAAUUGCUAGGGAUUAAACAUGGUACCUUAGGAUUUUGUGGCAGAGCAGCUCAAGUCGGUGCUCUCUGAUAUGCAUGUUGAUGUGGUAAGUCAAAACAGUGAGUACUGCAGCUCUUAUUUCCAAGUAUUCCCCAUAUUCAGUAAUUUUGAAAUUUGAUCUACUUAGUUCGUGAAGCAUGCUUAUUGUAGUGUAGAGCUUGGAAAUGUGGUAAUUUGAUCUCAUGAUUCUACUUAUUUUCCCAAUCCAAGGUUGGUGAAGCAUGCUUACAUCGGUGCUUUCUAUCAGCUAACACAUGGUUGUUUUCCAAAUUUUAUCAUUUUGGUUGUCAAGGUAUUGCUUCCCUCCUGUCCGUUGCUCCCAUGAUCACUCUCAUUAGCAUUUUCAUCAAAAGCGUUAGUUUCUGCUGGUCCACGCACAUUUGAUGAUAUACAUUGCUGAGUAGCUUUGGUCGAGCUUUUCACUGAGAGAUCAUGGUCUGAUCGAAGAUCUUAAGCAGCUUCCUCUUUUUUCUUUAAUGGCCUCUAUUUCACAGUGUGCAUAUGGUUAAGCAGAGAGAGUGAAACACUGGCAAAGGGAUUGUACAAAUUGAUGAGGUUAGCUCUGAUUGCAAAUGCAUCUAUUUAGUUAAGCAUGAUCAACCUCCAUACUUUUAAAAGGAAUUCCUCCCCUAAAAUAUGGAUUUUAAUAUAGCGUAAGGAUGCAAUA
Molecule: long non-coding RNA, 1440 nt
Organism: Lotus japonicus
Lineage: Eukaryota; Viridiplantae; Streptophyta; Magnoliopsida; Fabales; Fabaceae
Exons: 3
Source: RefSeq, a predicted model, not a curated record